RNAcentral lists this long non-coding RNA (541 nucleotides) under Lathyrus oleraceus (garden pea). Its description in RNAcentral is "Pisum sativum (pea) long non-coding RNA (PSAT_LNC024318)". The record is from RNAcentral. Lineage: Eukaryota; Viridiplantae; Streptophyta; Magnoliopsida; Fabales; Fabaceae.
AUUUUGCCUCCCACACUUCAAAAAAAAGAGCUUUUUUUGCACAAAGGGUAUUUGGUUCCCCCCAUUUUCCCACCAACUUUCCCUAUAAAUAGUAGCACUAUUCCCCUUCAUUUUUCAUGCUUUCUAGCCCCCAAAAUUGAUGAAAAAAUAUCAUUCAACCCCUCUUCUCCAAACCUAAAUCAAAACCCAAAAAACUUUUCCCUCCCAAAAGUCACCACUACCAACUUUUUUCCAUUUCACAUUUUUUUCCUCAAAGUUUCUCACUCUCUAACACUCAUAACCCAACCCUUUUACUAAGCUUUCACCACAAAUAUUUUCAUCCCAAACCCCUUACUUCACAUUCAAGUUCAACACCAUUUCUACCUAGCUUUUUUUCAUAUUUUGUGGGUAAUGACUUUAACUUAAACUUUUUAACUUUUUGUUCCUUUUUUUUGAUUAAAAAUGAUUGCUUGUUCUUGGUUGGUCUUUUGAGAUGGUUUAGAUUCAAGCUUGCAAAAAAAGAUUGACUUUGGUUUACUCACCCUUUUUUAAAGAUUUUUUA